CGAAGCUUCGUUCGUAUUGCACGUGUCUGCAACAGGUAUUUGAGCUUAAUUUUCGAUCAAACAUGGCCUGUUUUACCGAUGCGGAAUUCGGAGUUCAGCCUCCAAAACACAAAAAGAAACAUCGAAGAGUACUCUGCGAGGCUGCGAGACUUGCUCCCGGUUUGCGUGUGGUAACGUUAGCACAUUGAAUGAACGGCUGGAGAGCACCGGCUCGGUCCCAUCGCUAAAGCUGCGGGUACACACGCGAGUAAAAGACACGUUCGUGUUGCAUGUGGGACUGUGUGGUUUCGACGACGACUACGUCACGUCCUCUCAUGGCAAUCAGUGCAGCUGGCCACCAACGCGUUCCCACGGGGCCAAACCGACCCGGCCGGCCGGCCAGCUUCGGUCGCCUUUGCGAACGCGCCUUUUACCUCUUUCUCUUUCUUCCACCAUCUCGCUUUCUCUCACCUGGUAUACCAUUCCUUCCAUCUCCCUUUGUCCCUUUUCACCUCCACUUCAUACCUUUCCACGUUGUUUCGUGAAGAUUACUCACGCGGGUGCAACAACGUUUUUACCUGCCGCACUUGCCGUGUAAUUCCAACGGUUCUACCGGAUAGACACUCUUCAUGACUUUUUUUUCCCCCCUUUUAUAUUACUCAGACAGUCAUUUUCGAAAUGCUGGCCCGAUGAUGAUUUAUGAAAGGAUCGUUAGGAUUUUAUUGCUACUUACAAACGAGCCUUGCAUACAUGCGAGCGGAUUUAAUGGACUGCCGAGAGUAACUGAAGCUCCUCUUCGCGUGGAUCAUUAAUUAAACAUCCAUGUAGAUAGUCGUUGAUUAGAAUAAUACUUUUGGUUAGUGUUACAUCACCUGACUGAUUCUAUUUCUUUGAACAUGACAAUUAUAUGAUAAUUGAUCGCGACUGAAAAGUAAAUGGACAAUGAAUAGUCAUUAGCGCAAGGUAGGGGGCAGAGUGCAUCUUGUAUAAUUUUAUUUGAAUAGAAAUAAAUAUUUGAGAGAAAUGUAAUACAGUAAUAAUUGUCUAAUUGAGAGGUCAAUAUUUUGUAACAAAAUUACAAAAGUAGUGGUUGAAUGAGAAAAAAAAAAAUGAAAGGAUAAGUUUAAAAUACUUCACACGUUGCAGCAUACUAUUCAACGAGUCGAGUCGGUCGUUUGAACGGAACGUCAUACAUUUUAAAUUUAACUCGGUAAUGUCUUUAGCGGGCACGCGUAUCAUUAAAAUGUUCCGCAUGCGCUAAUCACCAGACACACGAACGAACGAUUGGCGUUUCAUUAAAAAUAUCCGCACGCAUGGCUUCUCUUUGCUUCGCUGCAACUCUAUUCCUGCGGCUCGUGAAACGAAACUGUACGAAGGAACAAACACGGGGGUCCUUCCACGCUCUUUUUCCUUUAUUUCUUAUCGCCUUCCUUGACUUCUUACCUUUCUCCCUACCGAACUCAUCCCCCUUUUCCUUUCUCCUCCACCUCUCUCGACUUUUCUUUUUUAUUUCUUUUAUUUUUACCUGCCAGCUAACGCACAGACGCGUUGCAUACACGCGCAGUCGAGUCGUUUUCGAGACCUUCUCGCAGAAUUCAUCGCCACGGGUGUGCUCGUGGGAGGCUUUAUACGGUGUCCAUGGUGAAGACGUUCAAAUGAAUUUACUGUCGUUGUUCUUUCUCUGGAUGGGUACCACCGGCCUCGAAAACUUACGAUGAAAAGGUUCGACACAGCUGGGAAGAAAUACCUACUAAAGUUGGAAUAGUGGUGGUCUUUGAUAUACACCGUUAUCGACCCGAAGAGAAGUAACGUUGAAUGAUACGAGGGUGGCCAGCACACUUUUAGUCUGUUCAUGACUCGAUCUUGAAGUUUGAUACGCGUCUUGUAGCUCGUUUUCAAGAAAUAUGGUGACAGGGGUUACAAAGGUUUUCCUCAGCCGCUGAAAAUCUCUAUUUCCUUUCAUAAUAUUUUUAUCAAUGUUUUCCUUUAACCCGAAAUCACGAGAUAGUAGAGUUACAGGAAGUAACAAAGUUAUUCAUGAUCUAACGAUUGCGUUUAUUUUUCAUUUCUGAUUAAUCUCGUUCGUUUUCCAAACAUUUAUGUCCACCCUAUCAAUCCCGUUACUAUUUUAGAAAAUUAGAAUUUGCUCCUAUGACUAUUCUUUCAAUAGGUACAUACCAAGCUGUAAAUUACAAGCCUUUACUUAUGUUUUUAAUAUACUCUCGCAAUUACAGGGCCUGGAAACCGCUUGGAAAAACCGGCGUUCGAGUUAAAAUCGCACGCAUUGUGCAUUGUGCGACACAGUCGAAAAGCGUCGACCGCAUCGUCGGGCGCAGCUAUAUAAACGAGUGUUCUUUGAACAACAAUGUUCCAAGGCCGACAACAGAGCAUUUCGGCACACCUGAGUUACCUGGUGCAUUUAAUACCUGGCUGCAGGUACGAUGGGAACGACCCGACAGUUCUGGAAUUCCGUUCAAGGUUCCGUAUAGAUUUCAUUUUAAACAGCUCUGGUAAACGAUGGAUAUAAACCAGUCGUUGAAAACGAAUCUUACACCGAAACAAUGCCCGUGAAAAUGACUUUAUACGCAAAGGCAGGUAGCAAAUACGCCUUCAGUGUUCGUUGUCGAACAAAAGAUAGAGGGGGGAUACGAACAACUGCUUCUGUCUUAAUGGGAUUUAACUGGUCCGGGUUAGGGCUUACGAAGCGCAGCUGCAGCAAAUAUAAAAUUCAAUGUCUAGCAGCGGAAUAAACAGGCUGCGCUGUCGAGGAGGUGCCCUUGCUAGGUGAGACUAUCGUGUCGUACCUAGUGCUCUAGAUUUCCGUUAAACCGAGAAACAAACGACGCGACGCGACAUGAAAACAGGUCACCGAGCGUUAAUGACGGUCCGGUGGUGCGUUCGUCGUCGCGCAUAUACGCUCGCCGCUCGGGUAUUUUAAAAACCGGUGACGAGCUUGUAUUUUCGCGGUACGGACCGUUUGAACAGCUGCGCAAAUAGUGGAUCCUCGCGGCACGAUGCUCCGCAAUUUUUGUCUCCUGUUUCAGCUCGCGCGUAUUUUUAUUACGGCUCGAUCACGAGCUCCGUGCCAUUCCGCAAUCAACGACCGUAUAAAUUAACAGGGACCGCUUAUUUCUGUACCUUGAUUCCCCGUAAAAAGUGUAUGUACCGUUAUCGAAGCGAAGUUUUUUUCAUUCGAGUGUCGCUCGACGAUUUAAUUUGUCAGGUCGAGUUCCUUAAUACAACAUCAUUCGAGUAAUCACCGUUCGAUUAUUGGUGAUUAUCAGCGGUACUAUCCAGAUUUGUCUCCAUAAUUCCAGCCUUAAUGUUCAGGUUCGAGCAGUGACGCACAACCUCGACGUUCACUGAUUAACAUGUUCGUGCCCGGGGUAACAGGUGCAGCCCGGCUGAUUGUAAGAUAAGGCGAACUCGUAAAUGAAACUAUUAAGAAUCAUCAUGAUUGAUAUCGAAACAAUCGGUAACGUAUGCUAUAAAUUUUACGAUUACUUCUGAAGAUCGGCAUCAUUUUGAAAUGGGUAGAUUUACCAAACUUGGAUUGAACGCGUUAAAGCUUUAUUAAUUUUACAGAUAAAUGAAAAAUUUUUUAUCGUGAAAAAUUUCAAAGCUUACGAUCAUUACGUCGAAUUAAGAAGUUGGAAUUGUUCACGAUUUCUCCCUACAUAUUCCGGCGAUCGUGGCGGCUAAGAAAGGCUGUGCUUACAAUUAGCACCGUGUUAGAAUAGAAGAAGACGGAGAGUCGAAAAGAGGAAAGAAAGGAAUGGAGGGGCGAGAGGAAGAGGAAAAGAGAUGAAGUACGAUGGAGCAAGUGUGGGUAUAUAGUUAUAGCCACCGUGGCCCUGAUACGAUGUUACAGUCUGUAGGCAGUCAGGAAUCAGGAGGGUCGCCCCACAGCUAACACGUGCAAGGCGCACGUGCACUCCGAGAGACCACUCUAGCCUCUGGCGCACAAUCAUCGGAUGCCAAGAUACACUCCACGGAAUAAUUUUCGAGGGGCACUCCCAUGCCUUCCUCCUUCGACUCUCGUUUCGCGAAAAAAGAAAUCAGCCACGAAGGAGAACGAGUUUCGUCGAUUUAAGGACGCGUACCAACGAACGGCAUCCAUCAUUUAUCAUGGGAAAUAUUCAAAUUUCGUCUAUCACAUGAAUUGUAUAAAAUUUUUCAUUUAUUAUUUAAUCAAUCUUCAUAAAUAACUAGUAGGUACAUAAUUCUAAAAAUGAUUUAUUUAUAAAUAGUAAUUUGUCAAUUCAAUACCGGGUGUUUUACUCCGAUACAUAAUACAAGAAUUAAAACUCGAUAUCGGUAUUCAUAGUAAAUUAAUUUUGGUCCUAGGCUGUACCUAAGUUUGAAGUUUGCAAAUAUUUCCUGUCAGCAGCAAUAAAUCGCUAUUCGCUAAAAUUUAUUCGAUCGUUUAUUCAUAAAAUUAACUGAAUACCGGUAUACGUCAUACAGUUAUCACAUUUUGCUCGAAAUUUAGAUUAAUUUUAAAAUAUCUUUUAGUGCCAGCCAACAGAGUAUCCUCCACGACAUUUAUCCCAACGUCUACCUUUGAAGUGUUUAAUUAUUAAUAUCCAAGGUAUAAGAAGAAAUAGGUGAAACGUAAGUAAUAUUUCCUUCCUAAAAUCCAUUAUUACGUAAGUUUUUCUAGCCGUUCUCCCUUUUGACGGUAAUAAAUCCUGGUUCUCUGAAGCGUGCAGUCGGAUGAGCGAAGAUAACACCAUGUUUCCUGCGUUUUUCUGAAAGAAUCGAGCAAGCCUGGCGGCCUUGUACGCAUGUUGCGUCGGUGUUGCGCACCACGCGGCACAAAUUUAUUCGCGCGAGUGUACGAGUGUAUACGAGGUGAGUACCUACGCAAGCUAUCGCGACGGACGACGCGACGGACGCGCGAUGCGGCAGGAAGCACACGAUUACGGGCUCGCUUUGGGGUCGUUCGUACCCGGUGCAUGUGCGGCAGCUGCAAAGAUGCGCGCAGUUUCACCGGUCGCAAUCUCGACGGCCCGAUUUCGAAGGAGCCGGGCACGCAACUGCGCUAAUUAUAGGUGCAUACUCUAGUCUUUCUUUACGACAAAUCGUAGCCGGAGGAAAUAUAUGCGGUCGCAUCGUUCUACCGCCAUGGCUCCUGCCUUUAUAGUGGUUAAUUGAACCGUGUCGCUGGAACUCGAUCGAGAUAACUGAAAUUGUUCAUUACAGACGGUGGAAAGGCUUUCCAGAUAUCUCCCGAUACACUAAUUGAACACGACUAAUGAUGCAUCAAGAUUUUUCUGAUCUUUUCCUACAAAAUUGGUAUCGACGAUUCUAUUUAACUUUCAUUGUUCACAGACGAUACAUACGUGUCUUGAAGGAAGCUCUGUUUCACGCGAUAGAGUAAUUAAAAAAAUGCAGACAGAUCUUCCCAGCUGCGCCAACAAUUAAUUACUUCGGUAUGCGGAAAGUUGGCUACGUAUGGAAGUUUCAUCGAUUAACCCGUUUAUUUCGAUAAUGCAAUGGAAGUACACGGUUUAUUAUGUAAUCGACCUCUCAGCCUUUCGUUUAUCAUAAAACGUUACGAAAUGUUAUUGUGCGGAAUCGACCUUCGUAUCGAGGCGAAACGCAUAUCUGCGUCAAAGAUCGACUGUCUGGUCUCCUUUUUUCUUUCUUAAUAUCGAACUUUCAACGUUAGUAUGUACAGCACUGGGCAUGGUGAACUUCCAUAAGGAAAAUGGUCGUAUAAAGGAAGACAGUUCAAUAACUAUAAUUAGAGGAUUGAAAUAUUUCUAUGAUUUAGAGGUUUAUGGUAUUUUACCUAGCCCUGCUUUUGACUUAGGUCCUAGGGUAUCUAAAUAUCGAUGAUUCAAAAAUUUAUGAUUUCUAAUUUACUUUUUAAAACAAAAUUUUACUUAGGUUUGUUUUCGACCUACGGGCUCCGAAUAUCAAUGAUUCAGAAGUUUAUCAAAAACACACAGAAGAGCUUUAUUCAUCCACGUCGGGUUACGUUACGUCUUCGUGCAUUAUCAAAGUCCAGCCAUUCAUUUGUUUGUCUUCUGGUUUAACGUUCACAACAUCCCUGACUGGCAAAUUCUCGGCUCAUUACGUAGGCUCGCGUUCAUCGCGAUAGGUACAAUACUUGUUCCCUAAUUGAAAAGAAGCGUGGACAGCACGAUAAAAUCGUACCAAGUCACACCUGUUUAUCGACAGCACUGAAUUACAUGUUUAAUCGAAACUGUUUGGUCAGAUCUAUUGGAAUAGAUAUCAAAUACAAAAUUUGUAUUAGGUUGAGCAAUCUUGAUUAUCACAGAAGUUCCUAUUGAAUUUAGAAUGAAUUACGUAUUUAGCAGUGGUUUGGCAAAUAUAGUUUUUAUAACUACACAAGCUAAGUUCUAUUCUUUUAUUCUUACCAGACAAUCGUUAAUUAGAAAUUGUCCAGUGUAAAAACCCUCGUAUUGUAAUUUUUAUUUCUACAUAAAAACGACAACAGUCCACUAAAUAUUUUAAAAUUUAUUAUAAAAGAAAAAUAGGAAUAAAGAUCAAGUCGCCACUAAUUGCUAACAAUAAAAUCACUUAACUUUUUAUCGUCAUAAGCAAUUUCAAAUCAGUUUCUGUGCACGUAUCGAAGAAUCCCCGAUAGUAUCAUAAAGAUUCACAAGUUUGUAAAAAACCGUGUCGAGUGUCUUAUCGCGAGGCUAAGCAUCGAACUGAAUAAAGAUAUCUGACGGUCUCUGUCAUUCAUAUAAACUUCAUAGAUUUUCGGUUCGUCUGCACCAAGAAAUUCACUUAAUCACGAUUCCUUAUCGCGUUAUCACGAUCAAUCGAUUCGAGUGCACGUUCGGUACAGCUGACCGAAACACCUGGCUCGUUUUCACGAAAUCAUUCCUUUCGGUGAAUCACGACACGGACAUGUUUUGAUUCAUGCUCAUCUCCUGCGAGCCAUUCGUUCGUUCGCUUUGCAUUCUGGCACGUAAGCUUGUUUUCGCGCCACGUAAAUUUCAACGAUUAUGUUUCACUGGACACGUGCACAACUCGGCCCUCGCCAUUCGCGAAGACGUUCCUCGACGGUGGCGGGUUUCGAAAGCAGAUACUAUUUCGAGGAUCCAUAAUAGUUUAUUGAAAUAAUCUUCUACUAGUAAGAUGCAUUGUUUAGAUUACACCUAAUUAACAUAACAAAGCGUUAUAUAAAUUUCUUUUAAAAAAACGAGUAACACUGUCGCGUAUUGUUUUAUGCAUUACGAUGAUAAGGGUAUUGAAUAACAAUCUGCUCUAAAAUUCAAAAUGGAAAACAGAAAUAUUACGCAGCAAUAUAGAGUACACGUUACGUGUAACGAGUUUGAGUACAGUAA
Osmia bicornis bicornis is the source of this 7307-nucleotide long non-coding RNA. RefSeq lists it as uncharacterized. The transcript has 5 exons. NCBI's taxonomy places the organism in Eukaryota, Metazoa, Arthropoda, Insecta, Hymenoptera, Megachilidae. The record is from RefSeq and is a predicted model, not a curated record.